Molecule: ribosomal RNA, 405 nt
Filed under: Rhipicephalus sanguineus sensu lato Rs3
Lineage: Eukaryota; Metazoa; Arthropoda; Arachnida; Ixodida; Ixodidae
Description: partial 16S ribosomal RNA
Source: RNAcentral
GGUAUUUUGACUAUACAAAGGUAUUGAAAUAAGAUUUUAAUUGAAUGCUAAGAGAAUGGAAUUUCAGAAAAAAACUUUUUUCAAGUUAAAAAUUGAAAUUUUUUUAAUUUGUGCAGAAACAAUUAUUAAUAUUAAGGACAAGAAGACCCUAUGAAUUUAUAAAUUUUAUUUAAUAUGUAACUACUAUUGAAAAAAUUUUAGCUGGGGCGGCGGAAAAAUAUUUAAAACUUUUUUAAAAUAAAAUGACCCAUUAUUAAUGAUUAUAUGUUAAAUACUCUAGGGAUAACAGCGUUAUAUUUUUUGAUAGAUCAUAUUGACAAAAAAGUUUGCGACCUCGAUGUUGGAUUAGGAUACUUUUUUAAUGCAGAUAUUAAAAAAAGAAGUUUGUUCAACUUUUAAUUUCCU